This 70-nucleotide transfer RNA is filed under the name Maruca vitrata. Its description in RNAcentral is "tRNA-Phe". Lineage: Eukaryota; Metazoa; Arthropoda; Insecta; Lepidoptera; Crambidae. The record is from RNAcentral.
UAUUUAAAUAGCUUAUAAUUUAGAGUAUAAUAUUGAAGAUAUUAGGGAGAUUAUUUUAAUCUUUAAAUAU